UUACUUUAUUCAGAAUGUAGCAAUGGAAUUAUCUGAGAGAUUCCAUAAUUUAUAUUAAAUUGAUAAAUGAGAUGAAAGAUAAACAGAUCAUGAACACAGAAACAGCAUAUCAUAUAAAAAUCUUAACAAAUUAAGAAUAUGGCUGAUAAAUGGCUUCACAUUGACAAAAUAACAGAUAAUAUCAGAUGUAUUUAACUACAUGCAAGACGUUCUUGUAUGACAAUAUGUAUAUAAAAUGAAUUUGAAAUCCUCUGCAAGAAAUGAAGGUCAACAAAUCACGCCAUGUAUAAUGACAUUCAAUGAUUGAGGUUAACAUGACACUCCAUGUAUAACGACAUUCAAUGAUCGAGGUUAACAUGACACUCCAUGUAUAACGAAAUUCAAUGAUUGAGGUUAACAUGACACUCCACGUAUAACGACAUUCAAUGACUGAGAUUAACAUGACACUCCAUGUAUAACGACAUUCAAUGAUUGAGGUUAACAUGACACUCCAUGUAAAACGACAUUCAAUGACUGAGGUUAACAUUCAAUGAUUGAGGUUAACAUGACACUCCACGUAUAACGACAUUCAAUGACUGAGAUUAACAUGACACUCCAUGUAUAACAACAUUCUAUGACUGAAGUUAACAUAACACUCCAAGUAUAACGACAUUCAAUGACUGAGGUUAACGUGACACUCCAUGUAUAAUAACAUUCAAUGAUUGAGGUUAACAUGACACUCCAUGUAUAACGACAUUCAAUGAUUGAGGUUAAAAUGAAACUCCAUGUAUAACGACAUUCAAUGACUGAGAUGAACAUGACACUCCAUGUAUAACGACAUUCAAUGACUGAGGUUAACAUGACACUCCACGUAUAACGACAUUCAAUGACUGAGGUUAACAUGACACUCUAUGUAUAACGACAUUCAAUGACUGAGGUUAACAUGACACUCCAUGUAUAACAACAUUCAACGACUGAGGUUAACAUGACACUCCACGUAUAAUGACAUUCAAUGACUGAGGUUAACAUGACACUCCAUGUAUAACGACAUUUUUUGACUGAGGUUAACAUGACACUCCACGUAUAACAACAUUCAAUGACUGAGGUUAACAUGAGACUCCACGUAUAACGACAUUUUUUGACUGAGGUUAACAUGACACUCCAUGUAUAACGACAUUCAAUGACUGAGGUUAACAUGACACUCCCAGUAUAAUGACAUUCAAUGACUGAGGUUAACAUGACACUCCAUGUAUAACGACAUUCAACGACUGAGGUUAACAUGACACUCCAUGUAUAACGACAUUUUUUGACUGAGGCUAACAUGACACUCCACGUAUAACAACAUUCAAUGACUGAGGUUAACAUGACACUCCACGUAUAACGACAUUUUUUGACUGAGGUUAACACAAAAUUUCAUUUAUGACAUUUUAUGACCAAGGUUUACACAACUUGCCUUGAAUGACAUUCAAUAACAGAUUAACAAAGCAUACAAAACUUCUUUAAAUAAUGGUAACAGUGAAUUAUCAAUAACCAUUUCUUUGAAUUGGGGACAAAUGCAGGUUUAUAUUGCAUAAAAGAUAUCUACAUUAUUAUUUACAAUGACACAUGUAUCCCAUUCAUCUAACAAUGUCAUCAACUUUCAGUUUCACCGUUUACUAUUUAUGUACCUACAUUUUGUUAGUGUUUGGAAGAUUAAGGUUUUGAUUCCUACUACUACCAUGGUACACGAAAUUAAAACAUUUAAGCAAUAAAAUGUAAAAUCCUAAUUUGUCCUCCACUGGAUGAUGUCAGGUUUUAAUGAUUGGAAUGGGAGAAAAAUAUUUAUGUCAUGCCCAGGGAUGUAGGAUAGGGAAAUUCCACCCUCUGGAUUUUCAAAUUGGUGCAAAACCCUCAGCAGAGCCUUGGGUUUUACCCCUCAACAGAGCCAUGGGUUUUACCCCUCAGCAGAGCCUUGGGUUUUACCCAAUUUGAACAUUCAGAGGAUGGAAUUUCUGUUUCUUACACACCUGGACAUUAAAGAGUCUUAUAUAUUGAAAGAGAAGUUGAUCAUGAGAGAGUAUUGAAAAGAUAUAUGGGGGGUUGCUUCAGAUCAAUGUUGGUAGCUUGUAAAUGUGUGUACUGAUAGAUGAAAACAUCAACAAUUUUGUAAGGGGCCCUGCACUAGUUGCCUCAUACAAUCAUGUAGUGGGAUACAGAAUAUCUGUUCUGUUUAAUUAGUGAAGCUACAGGAGAAAGUCCAUGUAAACUUUAUACAUUAACUGUGUACAAUGGCUUGAUGUAUUUUUUAUAAUAUACCGGUCAUUAUAAAAAAUUCUCUGGCAAAUGGAAUAUAAUAAUAAGCAGGUUCCACUGUAUACAUCUAUAUAUAUAUACAUGAAAUAUACAUACAUAUGUAUAUAUUUGGACAUACUCUCAUAAUGACCUUUUUCACAAUUAGCCUUAAUAACUCAAGAAAAUUUAUCUCUGUAAAAUUACAAACAUAAUACGGAAAAAUAAACUGUACAGAAAAAGAUGUCAAAGGAUAAAAUAAAGUAUUGCACACACCCUUUUACUUUACAUAUAAAAUGAAACAUUUU
Molecule: long non-coding RNA, 2555 nt
Organism: Mizuhopecten yessoensis (Yesso scallop)
Lineage: Eukaryota; Metazoa; Mollusca; Bivalvia; Pectinida; Pectinidae
Exons: 2
Source: RefSeq, a predicted model, not a curated record